RNAcentral lists this ribosomal RNA (460 nucleotides) under uncultured bacterium. RNAcentral describes it as "partial 16S ribosomal RNA". It matches the Rfam family "Bacterial small subunit ribosomal RNA", at positions 338 to 795 of the family's 1533-position model. The record is from RNAcentral.
CCUACGGGAGACAGCAGUGAGGAAUAUUGGUCAAUGGGAGGAAUCCUGAACCAGCCAUGCCGCGUGCAGGACGACGGCUCUACGAGUUGUAAACUGCUUUUGUACCGGGGUAAAAUGCUCUACGAGUAGGGUUUUGAAAGUACGCUACGAAUAAGGAGCGGCUAACUCCGUGCCAGCAGCCGCGGUAAUACGGAGGAUCCGAGCGUUAUCCGGGUUCAUUGGGUUUAAAGGGGGCGUAGGUGGUUUUAUAAGUAAGCGGUGAAAGACCGAUGCUCAACAUCGGGGCUGCAGCUGAUACUGUAGGACUAGAGAGCGGAUGCAGCAGGCGGAAUGUGUAGUGUAGCGGUGAAAUGCAUAGAUAUUACACAGAACACCGAUCGCGAAGGCAGGUGGCUAGGCCGGAUCUGACACUGAUGCACGAAAGCGUGGGGAUCGAACAGGAUUAGAUACCCGAGUAGUC